GAUGAACGCUGGCGGCGUGCCUAAUACAUGCAAGUCGAACGCACAGCGAAAGGUGCUUGCACCUUUCAAGUGAGUGGCGAACGGGUGAGUAACACGUGGAUAACCUACCUCAAGGUUGGGGAUAACAUUUGGAAACAGAUGCUAAUACCGAAUAAAACUUAGUAUCGCAUGAUACCAGGUUAAAAGGCGCUACGGCGUCACCUAGAGAUGGAUCCGCGGUGCAUUAGUUAGUUGGUGGGUAAAGGCGUUACCAAGACAAUGAUGCAUAGCCGAGUUGAGAGACUGAUCGGCCACAUUGGGACUGAGACACGGCCCAAACUCCUACGGAGGCUGCAGUAGGGAAUCUUCCACAAUGGGCGAAAGCCUGAUGGAGCAACGCCG
This 381-nucleotide ribosomal RNA is filed under the name uncultured bacterium. RNAcentral describes it as "bacterial SSU rRNA". It matches the Rfam family "Bacterial small subunit ribosomal RNA", at positions 28 to 399 of the family's 1533-position model. The record is from RNAcentral.